UUCGCAAUGCCCGAAAGGGUGACGAAGCGACGUCGCGUGGGUGAUGAAGGCCUUUGGGUCGUAAAGCCCUGUCAAGAGUUAAGAAAGCAGCUAGUCUGUUUGACGAAGGCUCUAAAGGAAGUCACGGCUAACUCCGUGCCAGCAGCCGCGGUAAUACGGAGGUGGCAAGCGUUGCUCGGAAUCACUGGGCAUAAAGGGCGUCUAGGCGGAUCUGUUAGUCGGCUGUGAAAUCCCUCGGCUUAACCGAGGAAGUGCAGCCGAUACUGCAAGUCUUGAGGGCGAGAGGGGAGAGUGGAACUCCUGGUGGAGCGGUGAAAUGCGUAGAUAUCAGGAGGAACGCCGGUGGCGAAAGCGACUCUCUGGCUCGUCCCUGACGCUGAAGCGCGAAAGCUAGGGGAGCGAACGGGAUUAGAUACCCCGGUAGUCCUAGCCGUAAACGAUGGGCACUAAGUAGAGGGAUUU
This 462-nucleotide ribosomal RNA is filed under the name uncultured Planctomycetales bacterium. Its description in RNAcentral is "bacterial SSU rRNA". It matches the Rfam family "Bacterial small subunit ribosomal RNA", at positions 365 to 831 of the family's 1533-position model. The record is from RNAcentral. Lineage: Bacteria; Pseudomonadati; Planctomycetota; Planctomycetia; Planctomycetales.